GUGGGGAAUCUUGCGCAAUGGGCGAAAGCCUGACGCAGCCAUGCCGCGUGAAUGAUGAAGGUCUUCGGAUUGUAAAAUUCUUUCACCGGGGACGAUAAUGACUGUACCCGGAGAAGCAGCUCCGGCUAACUUCGUGCCAGCAGCCGCGGUAAUACGAAGGGGGGUAGCGUUGCUCGGCAUUACUGGGCGUAAAGGGCGCGUAGGCGGACAGUUUAGUCAGAGGUGAAAGCCCAGGGCUCAACCUUGGAAUUGCCUUUGAUACUGGCUGUCUUGAGUACGUGAGAGGUGAGUGGAACUCCGUGUGUAGAGGUUAAAUUCGUAGAUAUUCGUAAGAACACCAGUGACGAAGGCGACUCACUGGCCCAAUACUGACGCUGAGGCGCGAAAGCGUGGGGAGCAAACAGGAUUAGAAACCCCGGUAGUCC
RNAcentral lists this ribosomal RNA (425 nucleotides) under uncultured bacterium. RNAcentral describes it as "partial 16S ribosomal RNA". It matches the Rfam family "Bacterial small subunit ribosomal RNA", at positions 354 to 796 of the family's 1533-position model. The record is from RNAcentral.